Molecule: ribosomal RNA, 301 nt
Filed under: uncultured bacterium
Lineage: Bacteria
Description: partial 16S ribosomal RNA
Rfam family: Bacterial small subunit ribosomal RNA
Source: RNAcentral
CAGCAGCCGCGGUAAUACAGAGGGUGCGAGCGUUAAUCGGAUUUACUGGGCGUAAAGCGUGCGUAGGCGGCUUCUUAAGUCGGAUGUGAAAUCCCCGGGCUUAACCUGGGAACUGCAUUUGAAACUGGCAGGCUAGAGUCUUGUAGAGGGGGGUAGAAUUCCAGGUGUAGCGGUGAAAUGCGUAGAGAUCUGGAGGAAUACCGGUGGCGAAGGCGGCCCCCUGGACAAAGACUGACGCUCAGGUGCGAAAGCGUGGGGAGCAAACAGGAUUAGAUACCCCAGUAGUCCCUGUCUCUUAUAC